Molecule: long non-coding RNA, 279 nt
Filed under: Nicotiana benthamiana
Lineage: Eukaryota; Viridiplantae; Streptophyta; Magnoliopsida; Solanales; Solanaceae
Description: long non-coding RNA (NBEN_LNC020095)
Source: RNAcentral
UAAUCUCAGACACACAAUUAGGAAUAUAGACCAUUAGCUAAGAGAGUUAGAAAUAAUCCUUUUUUAGAUCUAGAAAACAAGAACAAAGAAAGGGAAAGAGGAUUCAAGUUUUCUCUACCUCUGCUUUUCGGCUUCAUCUCUCUGGAUCUAAGAAGCUGGUUGAUUGUUCAAAUUGUUGUUUUAUUGCUGAGAUUACCGCCAAGCUGUUUGGAUUGAUUUUAGGUCUUCAUUUGGGCUCACUUUAACGGCGUUACUUUGUAAAACUAGGUAAGUUUCGAG